CACCUGACCGUUUGCUCUCUUUUUUGUUUUUGUUUUCGGUUCAGGCAUUUCUUGCAUUGCUUUUUCCUCUUUUAUAUCUUUUUUUUUAGCAGGAUCGACCUCGAUUCCUCUUUCGUUCACAAUAAGCCUCGGCAACUUACCAGACAGCACUCCACAAGUGCACUAAUUCGGACUCAACCUCAGUCUGAGUUGUUUCGAUCCGGUCAAACAACUUGCCCCGGAUCCACCAGAUGCCCCUCUUCUGCUUGGGACUUUGCUAUCAUGUCAUCAACAUAGCAUUCAAUUUCAUGAUGAAUCAUAUCAUGAAACAAAGUCACUCUGAUACGUGGCACCGGCGUUCUGUUUCUCUAGAGGACAGUCUUCUCUCCAUGGCAGCUUGCGUAUAACGACAUUGGUACCCGACCCUGGCAUAUCCUGAUACGACCAGGCGAAGAUAUCAACA
This 442-nucleotide long non-coding RNA is filed under the name Lathyrus oleraceus (garden pea). RNAcentral's name for it is "Pisum sativum (pea) long non-coding RNA (PSAT_LNC006069)". The record is from RNAcentral. Lineage: Eukaryota; Viridiplantae; Streptophyta; Magnoliopsida; Fabales; Fabaceae.